UGGUUCUUUUGACCAUUUCCUCAGAGAUUGUCCAGAAAGAGGUGAAAAAGAAGCUGAAUAGAUAUCGAAGCCGAGUAAUCCAGUUUCGAGAGGUAGACCACCUCGACUAUCUGGUAAUGUCAGUGGUAGCCAAGGAGCUACGAAAGAUAUUGCAGGCAGGUAUGAAGCACGAGCACCUACUAGGACAUAUGCCAUUCGUGCCAGAGAAGAUGCCUCAGCACCUGAUAUUAUUACUGAUUAACGUGAGAUUGGAGGAUUAGAUCAACACAUCCGGCCACACUAUUCAGAUUUUCUCCAGUAGAUUUUGUAUAGUACCUUACAGUUUAUAUGGCAUGUAUAGGAUUGGAAAAGAGUUAUAUUUAAGAUAUGGGUGUGAAAGUCUUAUAUAUAUGAAUAUGUAUGUGCAUGUGCAUAUAUAUUUAGUAAUAGUUUUAGUAUUCGAUGGAUAGAAUUAAUAUAGUAUGUUUAUGCAAUUUGAGUAAUGUGUUAUAAAUUAUGCUUAAAAUAUGUUUAAAAUAUAAAUUAUUGACUUAAA
Molecule: long non-coding RNA, 535 nt
Organism: Gossypium arboreum
Lineage: Eukaryota; Viridiplantae; Streptophyta; Magnoliopsida; Malvales; Malvaceae
Exons: 2
Source: RefSeq, a predicted model, not a curated record